AUUCCCUUUCUCCUUCCUGCAGUUUAUCAUUAUGUAUCUCAUAGUAAAUGAUUAGAGUGGGAGAUGGUCUCACUUCUCUGAAGAGGUGAUCUCUGAGUUGAAGCUUGAGCCAUGCAAAGAUCUAGAGAGAGAAUAGUCACAUAAAAGAAAGUAGUGUUACAUACAAAUCUCCUAAAGAAAUUGUGGGUGUUAGUAACAGAGGGAAAGGUACAACAUACUGUUAUGGGGAAACUAAGAAUGGUAUCUUACAAAGUCUAAGAUUUAUUCAAACAGGAUCCAGGUCAUUUAGGGUCAUGUAGUCCAUGUUAAGAGUUUUGGAAUUUAUUUUCACAUCAAUGAGAUACCACUGGCUCAUUUUAAAUCAAUGGGUGAUAACAGAUGUUCUUAUAAUAAUACAGAAAUGAUGAGCUGAGUCCUUUUUGAUGACCUGCAUUUCUUCAUCGGGGAAAGAAGAAAGCAAAGGAAAUAGAAAAGUGGUUAGACAUGUUUUGAUGCUCUAGACUAAGGGUGUAGAGAUUUCUAGUAAAAAUUUAUUUUUUAAUAAUAGCAAAUGUUACAUAGGAUAACUGCUCUAAAAUAUGUUCAGUGAAAAUAUAUACUCAGAUUAAGGAAUAUGCAGAUGGUGAAGUUUUGACAAUGAAUUAAAAGACAAAAAAAAUCCAGCUUGAGGUGGAAGUAUUGUUAAGGAGAGGUUUGGAAAUAAAGAUAUAUAGAAGGUUAGUACAGUAGAUAAAAACUAAGCAAGCAGUAGAGAGAGGCUAAAAAUUAAAGUAACAUAUAAGAAAAUGGAAAAGGAGGGAGGUAUCUGGACAAGAUACCAAGUAAAGGUUGAAGAUUCAGCCUACCUGAGAAUGAGGAACCCUACAUACUGAUCUAGAUAGAUUUUGAGGAAGAGAAGGCAGAGGAAGAAACAGAAGUCUAUCAGAAAAGGAAUGAAGUCAACUAAUGUCUCAUUCAUUUAACAAAAAUGCAUACAUUGAGCAUCUAUUUUCUAGGCAUAAACUAGGUCCUUUGGAUAUAAUGAUAGGAUACAUUCUUUAUUGUCAGAACAUUUGCAUAUACUAAGAAAGGCAGAAAAUUAAAUAAAUAUUCAUUGUACUGGAAGGAUCUACAAGACAAUAUUGGUAUCAAUGGGUAGACUAACUCUUCAGAUUAAUUGGAAAGCUAAGCGGGGAUUUCAUAGAGUUUGUGGUGAUUUGUUGAUUUCCUGUAGAAUAAGUAUAUACUCCAUAGUAGAUACAAAGACAGGCAGAGGAAGGAAUUCCAGAUAGAAGUAAUACUUUCUGGCAAAAAUAAAAGAAUACCAGACUUUAGAAAAUGCAAGUUGCUUAGUAUGGAAGGCCUUAAAAAGGCCUUUGGAAGGUUAAUGUAAGAAAGCAUAGACUAGAUCAUGAAUUACCACAAGUAGUAUGCCUUGGCAUAUAUAAGUAUUAACAUAGACAAUAUUGAAUAAUAUGAUCAGCUUUUUGAUUUAGAAAUAUUCUUGUAAUUAAAGUAGAGUGAUGAUUUCCAGGGCUGAGUGAGAAGAGAUUGAGUCUGGAGGCAAAGAAAUACUAUAAUAUUACAGGGAUAUUUUAAAAUAGAAUAAUUAAAUAAGAGCAGUGGCAAGGGAAAGUGUUUUUGUAAUAUUUAAACAAAUUUUAAUAGGACUUGGGUUGACUGAGUGUGGGUGGAGCUGACCUAAAGAAAGUAUAUAGGAUGAAAACUCCCAGAUUUCUUGUAUAAUUAAUUGAGAGAUCAGUAACUCCAUUAUGCUACACUGGGGAUAUAAAAGAAGAAGCAAGUGUGCUUAUCCAGACAAAUGAUGGAACUGGGAUUCAGGAGAAGUAUUUGGAUAAGGGAAAGGGGAAGAAUAAUUAGAAAGAAGAGAGAAAAUGAGGUACUUUUCUUGAGUAACUAUUAUAUGCUAGGAGCUGCCCUAGUGCUUUUAGACACCCUUGUUCAUCAUAUAUGGCUGAUAUCACUUCUACAUUGAGGAGUCCAAAGUUCAGAGAAGUUUCUGCUCAAUUUGUCCUGGCUAUUAAGUACCAGAACCAGCAUUCAAUUACAUGUCUAACUCAUUAAUACCAUGCUCUCAUUUU
RNAcentral lists this long non-coding RNA (2081 nucleotides) under Canis lupus familiaris (dog). Its description in RNAcentral is "lncRNA (ENSCAFG00845007690.1)". The record is from RNAcentral. Lineage: Eukaryota; Metazoa; Chordata; Mammalia; Carnivora; Canidae.